CCUACGGGAGGCAGCAGUGAGGAAUAUUGGUCAAUGGACGUAAGUCUGAACCAGCCAAGCCGCGUGAGGGAUGAAGGUUCUAUGGAUCGUAAACUUCUUUUAUAAGGGAAUAAAGUUCGGGACGUGUCCUGUUCUGUAUGUACCUUACGAAUAAGGAUCGGCUAACUCCGUGCCAGCAGCCGCGGUAAUACGGAGGAUCCGAGCGUUAUCCGGAUUUAUUGGGUUUAAAGGGUGCGUAGGCGGCCUGUUAAGUCAGCGGUGAAAGUUCGUGGCUUAACCAUGGAAUUGCCGUUGAAACUGUGGGGCUUGAGUGUGUUUGAGGCAGGCGGAAUGCGUGGUGUAGCGGUGAAAUGCUUAGAGAUCACGCAGAACCCCGAUUGCGAAGGCAGCCUGCCAAGCCAUAACUGACGCUGAGGCACGAAAGCGUGGGGAUCAAACAGGAUUAGAUACCCGAGUAGUC
This 460-nucleotide ribosomal RNA is filed under the name uncultured bacterium. RNAcentral's name for it is "partial 16S ribosomal RNA". It matches the Rfam family "Bacterial small subunit ribosomal RNA", at positions 338 to 795 of the family's 1533-position model. The record is from RNAcentral.